Molecule: transfer RNA, 54 nt
Filed under: Phyllocoptes taishanensis
Lineage: Eukaryota; Metazoa; Arthropoda; Arachnida; Trombidiformes; Eriophyidae
Description: tRNA-Asn
Source: RNAcentral
UUAAGCGUAGUUUAUAAAGGACGUUCCAUUGUUAAUGGGAAGGUGAUGCUUAAG